RNAcentral lists this ribosomal RNA (254 nucleotides) under uncultured bacterium. RNAcentral's name for it is "partial 16S ribosomal RNA". It matches the Rfam family "Bacterial small subunit ribosomal RNA", at positions 524 to 776 of the family's 1533-position model. The record is from RNAcentral.
UACGGGGGGAGCAAGCGUUGUUCGGAUUUACUGGGCGUAAAGGGCGCGUAGGCGGCCUCCGCAAGUCAAUUGUGAAAUCUCCGAGCUUAACUCGGAAAGGUCAACUGAUACUGCGGGGCUAGAGUGCGGAAGGGGCAACUGGAAUUCUUGGUGUAGCGGUGAAAUGCGUAGAUAUCAAGAGGAACACCUGCGGCGAAGGCGGGUUGCUGGGCCGACACUGACGCUGAGGCGCGAAAGCGUGGGGAGCAAACAGG